GCUUAAAUAUCCCGCGCGGUGCCUCAAUUAUUAGCGCAGCGUCUUAAAUCGGUAAGCAAUUUCAUCCCCGUGAAAUACCUCAGGUAAAGUUUAUGAAUACACAGUGUAGCUGGCUGUUUACCGUGUACUGAUAAGGGUUUAAAUACGACACGUGUUGAUGAAAGUGUGUGUUUUCACAAGUUUGCGGUUAAUUGGAACAGGAGUGAUUGGAAUAUAAUUAGUUAAGGAUCAUAAUUAGUCUAUGCAAAGAAAUGGGAUAACAGUUGGUGGCGGCAUGCAUGGGCUCUUUCAACACACUUUUCCAUUGAAGAAGACUGGGCAGUUAUUGGAAUGGGCACAGGUGAAAGCCACCGUUACCACAGAUGAACACUUUGAGCACAAUGGAGUGGAUUAUUGGUAAUCUGUCCGAGUCUCACCCAAACCUGUGCAAAGUCGCUACAGUGGGACUGCUUCUACCAACCUCCACAGCUGAUUGUGAGAGAGGUUUCAGCAGUUGAAUGUGUAAAGACCACCCACCAUUCACCAGUGAGCAUGAAAGUGCUUAUAAUGCCUUACUCAUGGUGUCCAUGCAGGGACAAAAAUUGAAUGACUUUAAUUUCAGUGGUGCAGUAAAAGAAUGGCACAGUGCCAAUGACAGACACUUCUAUAAAAAAAUGCCUAUAUAUAGAUGUGUUGUUAGUGUUAGUACAAAAGAAGUGGAAGGACAUAUGUGUUGUUUCGAAAAUACUUAUAAAAGAAGUGGACAUCUGUGUAGUGUAUAUGAUAUAUUGAUGGUUAUAUGAUUAUGUGAAAAUGUAGAAGUAAUGAAAUACAUGUUGUUGUGUUUUUUUUGCAUAUGGUAUACUUAAAAAAGCACCAUUUGGGUUCGAUUUUUUAAAAAAAUUCGAACAGGGGAGGGGAAACCCCUCCUGCACCCACCCCUUAUCCCGCCACACAAACUUUACCCCAGCGCCUUAAAAAAUUUCUGGGGAAGGGCCUGGCUUAAU
Mercenaria mercenaria is the source of this 986-nucleotide long non-coding RNA. RefSeq lists it as uncharacterized. The record is from RefSeq and is a predicted model, not a curated record. The transcript is spliced from 3 exons. NCBI's taxonomy places the organism in Eukaryota, Metazoa, Mollusca, Bivalvia, Venerida, Veneridae.